AUCCAGGACAAUGGGCGAAAGCCUGAUCCAGCCAUGCCGCGUGUGUGAAGAAGGACUUCGUAUUGUAAAGUACUUUAUGAGGGAAGAAUGUGCAGUAGGUCAACACCCCGCAAUUUCUCCGUCACGAACAGAAUAAGCACCGGCAAAAUUCGUGCUAGCAGCCGCGGUAAAACGAACGGUGCAAGCGUUAAUCGGAAUUACUGGGCGUAAAGCGCGAGUAGUUGGUUUGUUAGGUUGGAAGAGAAAGCCCCGGGCUCAACCUGGGAACUGCUUUCAAAACUGGCAAGCUAGAGUAUGGGAGAGGGUAGUGAAAUUUCCUGUGUAGCGGUGAAAUGCGUAGAUAUAGGAAGGAACACCAGUGGCGAAGGCGACCACCUGGGCUAAUACUGACACUGAGGUGCGAAAGCGUGGGGGGCAAACAGG
RNAcentral lists this ribosomal RNA (423 nucleotides) under uncultured bacterium. Its description in RNAcentral is "partial 16S ribosomal RNA". It matches the Rfam family "Bacterial small subunit ribosomal RNA", at positions 361 to 776 of the family's 1533-position model. The record is from RNAcentral.